UACGAAGGGGGCGAGCGUUGUUCGGAUUUACUGGGCGUAAAGCGCACGUAGGCGGUUCGUUAAGUCGGGGGUGAAAUCCUGGAGCUCAACUCCAGAACUGCCUUCGAUACUGGCGAUCUUGAGUCCGGAAGAGGUGAGUGGAACUCCUAGUGUAGAGGUGGAAUUCGUAGAUAUUAGGAAGAACACCAGUGGCGAAGGCGGCUCACUGGUCCGGUACUGACGCUGAGGUGCGAAAGCGUGGGGAGCAAACAGG
This 253-nucleotide ribosomal RNA is filed under the name uncultured bacterium. Its description in RNAcentral is "partial 16S ribosomal RNA". It matches the Rfam family "Bacterial small subunit ribosomal RNA", at positions 524 to 776 of the family's 1533-position model. The record is from RNAcentral.